AUUAACUACCGCAUAGGUAGCUUAGAAA
Molecule: non-coding RNA, 28 nt
Organism: Veillonella montpellierensis DNF00314
Lineage: Bacteria; Bacillati; Bacillota; Negativicutes; Veillonellales; Veillonellaceae
Source: Rfam